UUGUUUUGGCAACACAGAUACAAACACUGGAACAAUACAGAGGCCCCAGUACAAGGAUGACACGCAAAUGUAUGAAGAAUUCCAUAUUAAA
Small nuclear RNA from Bison bison bison, 91 nucleotides. The record is from Ensembl. NCBI's taxonomy places the organism in Eukaryota, Metazoa, Chordata, Mammalia, Artiodactyla, Bovidae.